CUACGGGCUGCACCAGUGGGGAAUAUUGGACAAUGGGGGAAACCCUGAUCCAGCGAUGCCGCGUGAGUGAAGAAGGCCCUAGGGUUGUAAAGCUCUUUCAGUAGGGAAGAUGAUGACGGUACCUACAGAAGAAGCACCGGCUAACUCCGUGCCAGCAGCCGCGGUAAUACGGAGGGUGCAAGCGUUGUUCGGAAUUACUGGGCGUAAAGAGCGCGUAGGCGGUCUUGCAAGUCAGACGUGAAAGCCCUGGGCUUAACCCAGGAGGUGCGUUUGAAACUGCUAGACUGGAGAAUCAGAGAGGUGAGUGGAAUUCCUAGUGUAGAGGUGAAAUUCGUAGAUAUUAGGAGGAACACCAGUGGCGAAGGCGGCUCACUGGCUGAUUACUGACGCUGAGGCGCGAAAGCGUGGGGAGCAAACAGGAUUAGAUACCCGAGUAGUC
RNAcentral lists this ribosomal RNA (439 nucleotides) under uncultured bacterium. RNAcentral's name for it is "partial 16S ribosomal RNA". It matches the Rfam family "Bacterial small subunit ribosomal RNA", at positions 339 to 795 of the family's 1533-position model. The record is from RNAcentral.